CCCUUAGAUGUUCUGGGCCGCACGCGUGCUACACUGAGUGGAUCAGCGGGUCAGGUUGCGCGAAAGUGUUUCCUAAUCUUGAAAUCCGCUCGUGAUGGGGAUUGACGGUUGCAAUUUUCCGUCAUGAACGAGGAAUACCUUGUAAGCGCGGGUCAUCAUCCCGCGCUGAAUACGUCCCUGCCCUUUGUACACACCGCCCGUCGCUCCUACCGAUUGAGUGGCCCGGUGAGGCUUUGGGAUCUGAGCAAAAAGAGCGUUUCGCUCGUUUGGCUCGGAAAACUCAGUCGAACCUUAUCAUUUAGAGGAAGGAGAAGUCGUAACA
This 322-nucleotide ribosomal RNA is filed under the name uncultured eukaryote. RNAcentral's name for it is "partial 18S ribosomal RNA". It matches the Rfam family "Eukaryotic small subunit ribosomal RNA", at positions 1470 to 1796 of the family's 1831-position model. The record is from RNAcentral.